Molecule: long non-coding RNA, 432 nt
Organism: Triticum dicoccoides
Lineage: Eukaryota; Viridiplantae; Streptophyta; Magnoliopsida; Poales; Poaceae
Exons: 2
Source: RefSeq, a predicted model, not a curated record
UUACUUGGUCGCCCCCUCAGCCGUCAAGGAGGCGCCCCGCCUCCGAGGACCACCGGGAAGGGGCGGCAAGUCGUCAGACAAGAAGCCGCCCCGAUGGCCUCAGACCACGGAGGAUGAGCAAGGAGCAGCUCAUGGCCGGGCUCUGCGCGUCCCUCCUAGAUGCGUUGGCCCAGGUGCCACCGCAAAACCACGGCGUCCAGCUGGCGAGCUUGGAACCCCAACAUUCAGCAGGCACCCUUUGAGGAAAGUUCCCUUCUCAAUAUCUGCCAAGGCAGCAUGUAUCAGUGGCAAACACAGCCCAGCUGCAUCCUUGAAGUCAUUGUCUUUGGUUUCAUCCUUCUUCCUAGUUGCAUAUAUGCACCACUUGUUAUUAGCUUGUGUUUACCGAGUGAAUAAACCAUACCAGAAAUGAUAUAGUAGAUUUGGGACACA